This 109-nucleotide non-coding RNA is filed under the name unclassified sequences. RNAcentral's name for it is "c-di-GMP sequence". It matches the Rfam family "c-di-GMP-I-GGC riboswitch aptamer". The record is from Rfam by way of RNAcentral.
AACGACAAAGCCAAACCCGUCGAGAGACGGGAAAGGGAAACUACGGGUGUUCGCAUCCUCGGCGACGUUCUAUCGCCACGAAGGACGCAAGAUCGCCCGGCUGCCGAAG